GACUUAGUGGCGGACGGGUGAGUAACGCGUGAGGAACCUGCCUUUCAGUGGGGGACAACAGUUGGAAACGACUGCUAAUACCGCAUAAUGUAUUCUGACCGCAUGAUCGGAAUACCAAAGAUUUAUUGCUGAAAGAUGGCCUCGCGUCUGAUUAGAUAGUUGGUGAGGUAACGGCCCACCAAGUCAACGAUCAGUAGCCGGACUGAGAGGUUGAACGGCCACAUUGGGACUGAGAUACGGCCCAGACUCC
Molecule: ribosomal RNA, 250 nt
Filed under: uncultured Oscillospiraceae bacterium
Lineage: Bacteria; Bacillati; Bacillota; Clostridia; Eubacteriales; Oscillospiraceae
Description: partial 16S ribosomal RNA
Rfam family: Bacterial small subunit ribosomal RNA
Source: RNAcentral